Molecule: unclassified non-coding RNA, 463 nt
Filed under: Hevea brasiliensis (rubber tree)
Lineage: Eukaryota; Viridiplantae; Streptophyta; Magnoliopsida; Malpighiales; Euphorbiaceae
Source: RNAcentral
UUUUUUUUUUUUUUUUCAAAUCAUAGGCUGCUGCAAAUGAGAAUUUCAGAGAAAAGUUCAGAAUAUAGAGAAAUGUGAAGAUGGCAAAUAGCUAACCGACCAUCCACCAUCGUGGCUUAAACUAUGGAGUGCUCAACUUUUUCAGGGAAAUAUUAGUAAAAAAAAUUUAGAGAUGAAGACAAGAACAUACACCAUUGUGACAAAGAGAAGGAAUCUUCUUUUUUAUAUAAAUGGAAGAGGAAAUGUGAUGUUUUUGUGCUAUCCUAUAAAUCUUAGUGGAGGACAAGAGAGUCGUUACUUUCACUUUCUUUCUUCCACAAUUUUUUUUAACUUCCUUUUCUAUGCUUUGCUUUUGUGUAGUUAGGCCCUUUUUGAAUAGACUGUAGAUGGCUUUCUUACAAAGUGAGACAAGGAUGAGGAUAAUGCUACAAUAUACACACAAGCAAAGCAUGAACACUCUAAG